CCUACGGGGGGCUGCAGUGGUGAAUAUUGGACAAUGGGGGCAACCCUGAUCCAGCCAUGCCGCGUGUGUGAAGAAGGCCCUCGGGUUGUAAAGCACUUUCAGUGAGGAAGAACGCCUGGUGGUUAAUACCCAUCAGGAAAGACAUCACUCACAGAAGAAGCACCGGCUAACUCCGUGCCAGCAGCCGCGGUAAUACGGAGGGUGCGAGCGUUAAUCGGAAUUACUGGGCGUAAAGCGCGCGUAGGUGGCUUGAUAAGCCGGUUGUGAAAGCCCCGGGCUCAACCUGGGAACGGCAUCCGGAACUGUCAAGCUAGAGUGCAGGAGAGGAAGGUAGAAUUCCCGGUGUAGCGGUGAAAUGCGUAGAGAUCGGGAGGAAUACCAGUGGCGAAGGCGGCCUUCUGGACUGACACUGACACUGAGGUGCGAAAGCGUGGGUAGCAAACAGGAUUAGAUACCCGAGUAGUC
This 465-nucleotide ribosomal RNA is filed under the name Vreelandella stevensii. RNAcentral describes it as "partial 16S ribosomal RNA". It matches the Rfam family "Bacterial small subunit ribosomal RNA", at positions 338 to 795 of the family's 1533-position model. The record is from RNAcentral. Lineage: Bacteria; Pseudomonadati; Pseudomonadota; Gammaproteobacteria; Oceanospirillales; Halomonadaceae.